This 451-nucleotide ribosomal RNA is filed under the name uncultured bacterium. RNAcentral describes it as "partial 16S ribosomal RNA". It matches the Rfam family "Bacterial small subunit ribosomal RNA", at positions 354 to 796 of the family's 1533-position model. The record is from RNAcentral.
GUGGGGAAUUUUGCGCAAUGGGGGAAACCCUGACGCAGCAACGCCGCGUGAGUGAUGAAGGCCUUCGGGUCGUAAAGCUCUGUCAGAGGGGAAGAAGUGUGAGGUGGCUAAUAUCCAUUUCACUUGACGGUACCUUCAAAGGAAGCACCGGCUAACUCCGUGCCAGCAGCCGCGGUAAUACGGAGGGUGCGAGCGUUGUUCGGAAUUAUUGGGCGUAAAGCGCGUGUAGGCGGUUUUUUAAGUCUGAUGUGAAAGCCCUGGGCUCAAACCGGGAAGUGCAUUGGAAACUGGGAGACUUGAAUACGGGAGAGGGCAGUGGAAUUCCUGGUGUAGGAGUGAAAUCCGUAGAUAUCAGGAGGAACACCGGUGGCGAAGGCGGCUGCCUGGACCGAUAUUGACGCUGAGACGCGAAAGCGUGGGGAGCAAACAGGAUUAGAAACCCUGGUAGUCC